UACGUAGGGUGCAAGCGUUAAUCGGAAUUACUGGGCGUAAAGCGUGCGCAGGCGGUUAUGUAAGACAGGUGUGAAAUCCCAGGGCUUAACCUUGGAACUGCAUUUGUGACUGCAUAGCUAGAGUACGGUAGAGGGGGAUGGAAUUCCGCGUGUAGCAGUGAAAUGCGUAGAUAUGCGGAGGAACACCGAUGGCGAAGGCAAUCCCCUGGGCCUGCACUGACGCUCAUGCACGAAAGCGUGGGGAGCAAAC
This 250-nucleotide ribosomal RNA is filed under the name uncultured bacterium. RNAcentral's name for it is "partial 16S ribosomal RNA". It matches the Rfam family "Bacterial small subunit ribosomal RNA", at positions 524 to 773 of the family's 1533-position model. The record is from RNAcentral.